RNAcentral lists this ribosomal RNA (483 nucleotides) under uncultured bacterium. RNAcentral describes it as "SSU rRNA". It matches the Rfam family "Bacterial small subunit ribosomal RNA", at positions 1 to 474 of the family's 1533-position model. The record is from RNAcentral.
GGCUUAGAGUUUGAUCCUGGCUCAGANCGANCGCUGGCGGCGUGCCUAACACAUGCAAGUCGCACGCAGUUUAAGGGGCAACUCUUGAACUGAGUGGCGCACGGGUGAGUAAUAUAUAGGUAACCUACCCUUUACUGGGGAAUAACCUGUCGAAAGACGGGCUAAUUCCGCAUACGUCCAAGACUACUACGGUAGAUUUGGGGAAAGGCGGCCCGCAAGGGCUGUCGGUGAUGGAUGGGCCUAUAUCGGAUUAGCUAGUUGGUGGGGUAAUGGCUCACCAAGGCGACGAUCCGUAGCUGGUCUGAGAGGAUGAUCAGCCACACUGGAACUGACACACGGUCCAGACUCCUACGGGAGGCAGCAGUGGGGAAUAUUGCGCAAUGGGCGAAAGCCUGACGCAGCAACGCCGCGUGAGGGAUGAAGGUUCUCGGAUUGUAAACCUCUGUCGUAGGGGACAAAACCUAUAUUAGCUAAUACCUAGUA